RNAcentral lists this unclassified non-coding RNA (596 nucleotides) under fungal sp. SB35. Its description in RNAcentral is "sequence contains 18S rRNA gene, ITS1, 5.8S rRNA gene, ITS2 and 28S rRNA gene". Lineage: Eukaryota; Fungi. The record is from RNAcentral.
GCGGAGGAUCAUUACUGAGUUAGGGAGAGAACGGAUCCCCCCCUCGUUGAGUAACUGUUUUCUUGGUCGAUGGCGGGGACCCGUCCCCCCUUAAAGUCUGAGAAGACCAUCGUGUCCCAGAGACCUUUUAUUUUCCUCCGUUUGUGGAUUCUGACUCUUGGAUCCUUGUUCCAAGACGAACGCCAGGAAAUGUGUUGGAUAAGGUUUAUUGGAGUUUGCAGGGAAAUGCGAUGUUUCGAGUAAGUUUGCACUCCUUGGUAUUACCAGGAGUACGCCUGUUCGAGGGUCCCUUUGUAUCCCGAUUGGCUCGACUGUCAAUCGCUCCCUUGGAACGAUUACACUGUUGUGGGCUAGUGAGCAUCUGUGAGGACUCACUUGGAGUCGAUGUGCCUCAAUCCCGGCUCAAAAGUUGACCUCGGAUCACGCGGAGAUACCCGCUGAACGGGCGCGGGGCAAUAAGACCACGAAGUUUGACCUCUGAUCAGGUGAGGAUACGAGCUGAACUUAAACAUAUCUGAAGCGCAUGAACCGAUGAGUGGACUCCGUGCCCGCCAGAAAUCCCGCUCCACCUUUUUUUUUUUUAUUAUGCGGUGAAA